RNAcentral lists this ribosomal RNA (474 nucleotides) under uncultured organism. RNAcentral describes it as "partial 16S ribosomal RNA". It matches the Rfam family "Bacterial small subunit ribosomal RNA", at positions 335 to 800 of the family's 1533-position model. The record is from RNAcentral.
ACUCCUACGGGAGGCAGCAGUGGGGAAUUUUGGACAAUGGGCGAAAGCCUGAUCCAGCAAUGCCGCGUGAGUGAAGAAGGCCUUCGGGUUGUAAAGCUCUUUUGUCAGGGAAGAAACGGUGAGAGCUAAUAUCCCUUGCUAAUGACGGUACCUGAAGAAUAAGCACCGGCUAACUACGUGCCAGCAGCCGCGGUAAUACGUAGGGUGCAAGCGUUAAUCGGAAUUACUGGGCGUAAAGCGUGCGCAGGCGGUUUUGUAAGUCUGAUGUGAAAUCCCCGGGCUCAACCUGGGAAUUGCAUUGUAGACUGCAAGGCUAGAAUCUGGCAGAGGGGGGUAGAAUUCCACGUGUAGCAGUGAAAUGCGUAGAUAUGUGGAGGAACACCGAUGGCGAAGGCAGCCCCCUGGGUCAAGAUUGACGCUCAUGCACGAAAGCGUGGGGAGCAAACAGGAUUAGAAACCCCUGUAGUCCCAUGA